GAUGAAGAACGUAGCGAAAUGCGAUAAGUAGUGUGAAUUGCAGAAUUCAGUGAAUCAUCGAAUCUUUGAACGCACAUUGCGCCCCUUGGUAUUCCAUGGGGCAUGCCUGUUCGAGCGUCAUUUGUACCUUCAAGCUCUGCUCGGUGUUGGGUGUUUGUCUCGCCUCUGCGUGUAGACUCGCCUCAAAACAAUUGGCAGCCGGCGUAUUGAUUUCGGAGCGCAGUACAUCUCGCGCUUUGCACUCAUAACGACGACGUCCAAAAGUACAUUUUUACACUCUUGACCUCGGAUCAGGUAGGGAUACCCGCUGAACUUAAGCAUAUCAAUAAGCGGAGGA
RNAcentral lists this unclassified non-coding RNA (337 nucleotides) under soil metagenome. RNAcentral's name for it is "partial contains 5.8S ribosomal RNA, internal transcribed spacer 2, and large subunit ribosomal RNA". The stretch from base 1 to 120 matches the Rfam family "5.8S ribosomal RNA", at positions 35 to 154 of the family's 154-position model. The record is from RNAcentral.